This 325-nucleotide ribosomal RNA is filed under the name uncultured eukaryote. RNAcentral describes it as "partial 18S ribosomal RNA". It matches the Rfam family "Eukaryotic small subunit ribosomal RNA", at positions 1470 to 1796 of the family's 1831-position model. The record is from RNAcentral.
CCCUUAGAUGUUCUGGGCCGCACGCGCGCUACACUGAUGCAUUCAACGAGCCUAUCCUUGACCGACAGGUCCGGGUAAUCUUUGAAUCUGCAUCGUGACGGGGAUAGAUUAUUGCAAUUAUUAAUCUUCAACGAGGAAUGCCUAGUAGGCGCAAGUCAUCAGCUUGCGUCGAUUACGUCCCUGCCCUUUGUACACACCGCUCGUCGCUCCUACCGAUUGGGUGUGCUGGUGAAAUGUUCGGAUCGGCCGUUUGUCGCGGUUUCCGCGGCUCGUGGCUGAGAAGUUCAUUAAACCCUCCCACCUAGAGGAAGGAGAAGUCGUAACA